UACGGAGGGUGCAAACGUUGCUCGGAAUCAUUGGGCGUAAAGCGAACGUAGGCGGCAUUGUAAGUCGGGUGUGAAAGCCCUCGGCUCAACCGAGGAAGUGCAUUCGAAACUGCAACGCUUGAGUGUCGGAGAGGAUAGCGGAAUUCCCGGUGUAGAGGUGAAAUUCGUAGAUAUCGGGAGGAACACCAGUGGCGAAGGCGGCUAUCUGGACGAACACUGACGCUGAAGUUCGAAAGCGUGGGGAGCAAACAG
RNAcentral lists this ribosomal RNA (252 nucleotides) under uncultured bacterium. RNAcentral's name for it is "partial 16S ribosomal RNA". It matches the Rfam family "Bacterial small subunit ribosomal RNA", at positions 524 to 775 of the family's 1533-position model. The record is from RNAcentral.